GACGAGCGCUGGCGGCGUGCUUAACACAUGCAAGUCGAGCGGAAAGGCCCUUCGGGGUACUCGAGCGGCGAACGGGUGAGUAACACGUGAGUAACCUGCCCUAGGCUUUGGGAUAACCCCGGGAAACCGGGGCUAAUACCGGAUAUGACCUGGUGCCGCAUGGUGUUGGGUGGAAAGUUUUUUCGGCCUGGGAUGGGCUCGCGGCCUAUCAGCUUGUUGGUGGGGUGAUGGCCUACCAAGGCGAUGACGGGUAGCCGGCCUGAGAGGGCGACCGGCCACACUGGGACUGAGACACGGCCCAGACUCCUACGGGAGGCAGCAGUGGGGAAUAUUGCACAAUGGGCGGAAGCCUGAUGCAGCGACGCCGUGUGAGGGAUGAAGGCCUUCGGGUUGUAAACCUCUUUCAGCAGGGACGAAGCGUGAGUGACGGUACCUGCAGAAGAAGCGCCGGCCAACUACGUG
Molecule: ribosomal RNA, 462 nt
Filed under: uncultured bacterium
Lineage: Bacteria
Description: partial 16S ribosomal RNA
Rfam family: Bacterial small subunit ribosomal RNA
Source: RNAcentral